This is an RNA transcript of Rattus norvegicus (Norway rat), 5738 nucleotides long. It is a transcript of the gene named cell division cycle 14B, with no coding region annotated. Lineage: Eukaryota; Metazoa; Chordata; Mammalia; Rodentia; Muridae. The record is from RefSeq and is marked validated.
CGGAAGCGUUCAGACUUUUCUUUAUGGCGUCACCGAGUACCUGCCUGUAGGAAGGCUCCAGUUGCGUGACGUCACGCCGCAGUGACCAAUGAACGGCCCGAGCCGGCAGGCCCCGAGGAGGGUUGUGGGCCCUUCUUUUUGUGAAUGAAGCUCCACGGAACAUCCCUCCUGGGGGUCCCCGGGAGCCGCGGCCCGCUGAGCUCGGACGCCCCGGCAGCAGCGUCCCAGGGAGCGCGCGCUUUGCUCCAGCCACCGGCCAGCGCUGUGGGGCCCCUGGGACGCGGGCAGCGGGAGACGCAGCGCGAGGACCCGGGCCGGGUUGCCGGGCCAUGGUCGCGGUCCCCUGACGGGCCGCGGCCGCCUCCAUGAAGCGUAAGAGCGAGCGGCGCUCGGCUUGGGCCACCGCGCCCCCCUGCUCACGCCGCAGCUCGUCCUCCUCUCCCGGUGUGAAGAAGAGCCGCAGCUCCACGCCGCAGGAGCUGCACCGCCUGGAGCAGCAGGACGACCUGUACCUGGACAUCACGGAUCGCCUUUGUUUUGCCAUUCUCUACAGCAGACCAAAGAGUGCAUCAAACGAGCAUUAUUUCAGCAUAGAUAACGAGCUAGAGUAUGAGAACUUCUAUGCGGAUUUUGGACCACUCAAUCUGGCCAUGGUUUACAGAUAUUGUUGCAAGAUAAAUAAGAAGCUCAAGUCCAUUACAAUGCUGAGGAAGAAAAUUAUCCAUUUUACCGGCACUGAUCAGAGAAAGCAAGCGAAUGCCGCCUUCCUUAUCGGGUGUUAUAUGGUUAUAUAUUUGGGGAGGGCACCAGAAGACGCGUAUAGAACAUUAAUCUUCGGGGAUACAGCCUAUAUUCCUUUCAGAGAUGCUGCCUAUGGAAGCUGCAGUUUCUACAUUACACUUCUCGACUGUUUUCAUGCAGUAAAAAAGGCAAUCCAGUAUGGCUUCCUUAAUUUCAACUCAUUUAACCUCGAUGAAUAUGAACACUAUGAAAAAGCAGAAAAUGGAGAUUUCAACUGGAUAAUACCAGAGCGGUUUCUUGCCUUCUGUGGGCCACACUCAAGAUCCAGGCUGGAAAGUGGUUACCACCAACAUUCUCCUGAGACUUAUAUUCCAUAUUUUAAGAAUCACAAUGUAACUACCAUUAUCCGUCUGAAUAAAAGGAUGUAUGAUGCUAAGCGCUUUACGGAUGCUGGAUUCGAUCACCAUGAUCUUUUCUUUCCGGAUGGCAGCACCCCUGCUGAGGCAAUUGUCCAAGAAUUUCUGGAUAUUUGUGAAAAUGUCGAGGGUGCCAUUGCGGUGCAUUGCAAAGCUGGCCUUGGUCGAACAGGCACACUGAUAGGCUGCUACCUCAUGAAACAUUACAGGAUGACAGCAGCCGAGAGCAUUGCCUGGCUCAGGAUCUGUAGGCCCGGCUCAGUGAUUGGGCCCCAGCAACAGUUUCUGGUCAUGAAGCAAUCGAGCCUCUGGCUGGAAGGCGACUAUUUCCGUCAAAAGUUGAGAGGGCAGGAGAACGGAGCCCUCAGAGAAGCCUUCUCCAAACACCUUUCAGAUGUUGAUGACAUUUCGAUAAAUGGGCUUGAGAAUCAAGACAGUCAAGAGCCUGAGCCGUAUAGUGAUGAUGAUGAAGUCAGUGGAGUGACACAAGGAGACAGACUUCGGGCCCUGAAAAGCCGGAGACAGCCGAAAACCAACGCUAUCCCCCUCACAUGUCCCCUAGCUGUGCUGACCUCUGCACUGUGUAGUGUUGCCAUCUGGUGGAUUGUGUGUGACUACAUUCUUCCCACCCUGCUGUUCUGUCUUGAUGGCUUCAGAGCACAGUAGCCAUCUGGACACUUUGACAGAUAGUUUGCUGUCCUGGCUCCUUGGAGGGAGAGGAGGAGGAGGAGUGCUUUGCAGCACAUGCCCAUGCUGGCCUUAUGUCCAGCCAUUUCAAGGACUAAGACAGUCUUACGUUAAAGUAAAAAACCGGUGAACAGCACUCCAGGGAAGACUAGGAACAGAAAACCCCAAAGGAUUUAGCCAAUCGAUCUGAGAACAAAGCAGACUGUGCAAUGGCCUUAGCUUCUUUCCACAUAAGAAGUUCAUUCAAGGAGGAAAAUGUCACUGGCCUGUCAUCCACUCACUGACUCUGGGGUGUGGUUGAACCAUUUGAAGGCCUGACUCUCCCUUUCAUAAUCUCAAGUCGGACAAAAGCUGCUGUUGUGAAUUUAGUCUCAGGUGUCGAUACCCUGUCCUCUGCCACCAGAGAGCUGUCUGGUGAGUGUGGUACAUGUGUGUCCCUGUGAUGGCAAUCAUGUUUGCUGCUGGCCUCCAGAAGAGUGGGGGAUCUGGUGGAGAUCUCUUGGGUAUUUAUUUCUGUUCGGCCUGUGGCCCCGACUUACAGUUUAUAAAGAUGUAAGAGAUGAACCCCCCAGUGGUACCCUCCGUCUUAAGGUGUGAUUUGGUACGGUCAGCUUCACUUUACUCUCGUUAACGCUGUUGUGAUGUUCGUUCACUGCGUGAAGUACCCAAGCUGCUUGUCUUUCACCAAAGAGUGCUUUAUUAACAAUCUGUGAAUACUGCAUUUAAACACUGUUGUAUGUUGUCGUGGUUACCAAAAACCUGCUAGAAAAUGUUGAUGAGAGCAUUGGAACCCUUUCUCAGUCAAAUGGUUCCUACAAAUCCUUCCUUGUGUCAUUUAGAAGAUUUCAGAGCUGAGAUGUUGUUGGGUUGCUCAGUCACAUGUUUUUUGUGGUUUUUUUUUUCAUUUUUUUUUUCUUUUUUUUUUUUUUUUUUUUUCGGAGCUGGGGAUCGAACCCAGGGCCUUGCGCUUGCUAGGCAAGCGCUCUACCACUGAGCCAAAUCCCCAACCCCGCUCAGUCACAUGUUAUAAUUGUGUUUACUCCAUUACAUUAAAACCAAACAUCAACCCUAGCAUUUUUUCUGGAAAAGCAUCGUAAAUAAUGUUGACUUUAAAAACAAAAUUGUGAGCCUUGAGGUAGUGGUGCUUGCCUUUAAUCCCAGCAUUGGGAGGCAGAGGCAGGUGCAUGUCUGAGUUCAAGGCCAGCCAAUGAUACAUAAGGAAGUCUCAGAGACAACAAAACAAAAACCAACCCCCACAUCCCAAAACUGUUAAGUCCUUGUAGAGUCUUUCUCUGUAAUGCUGCGGAAUUUCUUUCCUUGUGAUUCACAGUUUGAUUUUAGUGACAAUCACUUGCUUCUGGAGUUAGGCUGUUUAUGUAAGAGAACUCACUGUUGCCUUUGGUUAGGGAAUAUGACUAGAAACUGUAGCGUGCCUUUUCUCUUCAUCCUGCUGGAACCCAGCAGCACCCGUGCCAUGAAGCAAUUGCAAAACCAGAAUUUAUCUGUUGCCAAAAAACAACAACAAAAAGACCAAAAAAGGCAGAGACCAUAAUUAGAAAAUACUUUAUAGUUGUCUUGGUUACUUCCACAAUUGAGGCUAGUGGUUUUUGACUCUCCCAGUUUAGAAACUGGAGAAAUGCAAUAUUGAAAGCCAUUGACAGCCAUUGCCUUCCUCAGACAGAUGAAUGUGUCAGGUGAGCAGGCUAUCUCACUUGAAAAGCUGCCUUUCUUGUAGUUGGUAUCGACAGGUUUAAAGUUUAGUUAUUGUAAAAAUAUUUAAAGGCCAUGGGUUCCCCCUUUCAGUGUUUCUAUCCUCAAACUGCAUUGGCUGGCCUUGGGUCGGAGACCUGAGGAUUCAAUGUAAACCCACACAAAGAGCCCCUCCCUAGAUAGCACAUAGCUUUCAAACAGUGGAGAAAGACAGUUAAGGUAGGGUUUGUUAUUCCUGGAUAUGAAUGAGUUUAAGCUCUAGCUAGGAGGACAAACAUUUCAUUUACCAAUAAUGCUAAAUCAAACUGCCCAAGUCUAAAAUAAAAGCUUCUCAGGUGGUUCUUCCUUCCCUGAACAAGCUAGGCCAGGUACUGAGCAGACAGAAGGAGACUUCCUUCCAUCUGAACUAAUCUGGAUUUGUUCUCAUGGAUCAGGAUGAGUGAACAGGGCCUGCCCAUGAUGGCCUUGUAGCCAGCAAAUUUGGGAGGAAACCACCUGGGCUUCAGAGAUGGCCACAGUGCUUUUUAAAAGGCACGGUACCUUUUUGUGUUGGCAGGUCCAUUCAGCUAGAACUCCUGCCACUGUGGCUCUUCCCUGUAUUUAACUCCCUUGCUGAAGUUACUUAGGAAACAUGAGUUGGUAAGGACAUUCCCAGGAAAACUACUUAAUGUUGUCUGGGGAGGACGGCAUAGCAACUGACUGGUGACAUCCAGGACCCAGAAAGUCUUUGAUCAAACAAAUGAAAAGUCCUUCCUGUUGGGAAUUAGUGGACUACCUCUGCCCAAACUACAACUACCCAGAAACUUAAGGGUAGAAGAAGACCCUAUUGCUAUAGAGCAUGGAUCUAUAGAGUGGGUAUUGGAGGGGCCCCUUUAACUUAAGAACGUUAAAUACCUUUGUAAGUACAUCAAGUUAGAAAGUAUAUUUAUAGGUGACCUUGAUGCUUGUUGGGAGCCCACACCAUCCGGAGCCCAAGAGAGGAAUGUCUGCCAAGCUGGGCUUCAGGACUUUAGACAGAUUAAUACAGUUCUGAGGCCCAGCUACAACUCUUGCCUUGAGGCAAGAAGGAUGGAGCCUCAGCAGCCACAUUCAAGGUUGUAGUAUUUGUCUAAACUCUCAUGGCCACACGCUGUUCUUCCUCAUUAACUCCCCAGCUUUAACUCAACCCCCUAAACCUAGCCCUAUCCAUUGUCCUGCCCUGCCCCACUGCCCACCUCUCAGGGGUGGCUUCUACCUCUUGGCUUGGGCCCUGACAGGUCAUAGAGGCUCCCCAAGUGUUCUCAUGAGGCUCUGUGAGCAUAAUCAGGUCUGGUAGACCUUCCCAGCUUUCUGGGUAGUUUGUGCCUGGAAUUCCUCAGGCCUUCCCUUAGCUUGAAUAGCUGUCUGUGACAAGUGCGUAUGUGUUCUAGAAACAUCAGCUGCUUUUCCUCAUAUUUUUUUAAAAAUUCUUUCUUGCAUUUUGGAAAGCAGUUGGUCAGAAACCUUAAAACCUAUUUUUUUAGGGCGGUUGUAGGAGGUGGUUCUCUGUGAGUUUAAGGCCUACCUGGUCUUCAGAGUGAGUUCCAGUGUAGUUAGGGCUACACAGAGAAGCCCUGUCUCAAAACAGACAAUAAGAACUAUUUUAAGAUUUCAUGAUUUCUCUCCCGCUGAAGUGGCCUAGUGAGGAUAGCCACUGCUCUUGUAUUUCUCCGUAAAUCAGAGUGUUCCCCAUGUCGCUGAGUGGAAAUACUACAGGUAGUGUAAAGGAUUGCCUAUACUGUGUAAGAAAUUACCUCCUUGCUGAUCAGUAGAACUCACUGUGCAUAGACAUGUCUAUCAGUUACAGUACUGCAGUCCUACAUCCAUUGUUUGAAGACUCUAUUAUACACUCACGUACAGAUGAAGUGAAGUUUUAAAAUGUUACUGAUGACUCAGUAUUUGAUCAGCCAUUGUCUUGGUAUUUUAUUAAAUUGUAUAUUUCUAAUCAUAUUUUUUAAAGCUGAAAGAACUGGUUGGAUGUUUAUCUCUGAAGGUGUUUUUAAGAUAAAAGCGUCACUGUAGCCUGUAAACUUGGCACACAUGUAGUUUUUGAUACUUUUUGUUGCAUUUGAAAAAUCUUGUGUAUUGUAAAAUGGUUUUAUACAAAAUACUAAAUAGUAGAAAUUGUAUAAUUUACAAUCAUAUAAUUAAAAAUAUUAAACAGUC